This is a non-coding RNA of Gymnopilus junonius, 93 nucleotides long. The record is from the annotation of a GenBank genome assembly. NCBI's taxonomy places the organism in Eukaryota, Fungi, Basidiomycota, Agaricomycetes, Agaricales, Galerinaceae.
GCCCGCCUAGCUCAAUCGGAUAGAGCGUCAGACUUUUACGACUUAGGCAUCGGGCAAAUCUGAAGGCUGCGAGUUCGACCCUCGCGGUGGGCU